AGAGUACGUGAAACCGCUUAGAGGUAAACGGGUGGAUCCGCAAAGUCGGCCCGGGGAAUUCAACUUGCCGUUUUUGGGCGGCGGACGUUAGGUCAGGGAUCCGUAAAGACCCGCCCGGCGUUCGGCUGUCGUCGGCGAGUGCACUUUCCUCGGGUAGAGCGCCACGACCGGUUUGGCGGGCGGUCAGAAGCCGGCCGGGAAGGUGACUUGCUCUUCGGAGCAAGUGUUAUAGCCCGGCCAGUGUCGACUCGUUCCCAGACCGAGGAUUUGCCGCGUCUCACUUGCCCUCGGCUCUCUGCGUGCGUUCGACUGGGGAAGCACUGCUUGCCAGUUCUCUCCGACCGCGUGCGUUGAUCGGCCGGGAAGCACGAGGCGCUUCGGGUCAGUGGCGAAUCGGUCGGUCCUCCACCCGAC
Molecule: ribosomal RNA, 414 nt
Filed under: Amygdalum watsoni
Lineage: Eukaryota; Metazoa; Mollusca; Bivalvia; Mytilida; Mytilidae
Description: partial 28S ribosomal RNA
Source: RNAcentral